RNAcentral lists this ribosomal RNA (327 nucleotides) under uncultured eukaryote. RNAcentral's name for it is "partial 18S ribosomal RNA". It matches the Rfam family "Eukaryotic small subunit ribosomal RNA", at positions 1470 to 1796 of the family's 1831-position model. The record is from RNAcentral.
CCCUUAGAUGUUCUGGGCCGCACGCGUGCUACACUGAGUGGAUCAGCGGGUCAGGUUGCGCGAAAGCGUUUCCUAAUCUUUAAAUCCGCUCGUGAUGGGGAUUGACGGUUGCAAUUUUCUGUCAUGAACGAGGAAUUCCCAGUAAGCGCGAGUCAUAAGCUCGCGUUGAUUACGUCCCUGCCCUUUGUACACACCGCCCGUCGCUACUACCGAUUGAACGGUUUAGUGAGGGCCUCGGAUUGGUCUCGGCCCGCUCUUUACCGGGCGGCGCCGUUGGUCGAGAAGACGCUCGAACUUGAUCGUUUAGAGGAAGUAAAAGUCGUAACA